GGCUGUUCGCCAUUUAAAGUGGUACGCGAGCUGGGUUUAGAACGUCGUGAGACAGUUCGGUCCCUAUCUGCCGUGGGCGCUGGAGAACUGAGGGGGGCUGCUCCUAGUACGAGAGGACCGGAGUGGAUGCAUCACUGGUGUUCGGGUUGUCAUGCCAAUGGCACUGCCCGGUAGCUAAAUGCGGAAGAGAUAAGUGCUGAAAGCAUCUAAGCACGAAACUUGCCCCGAGAUGAGUUCUCCCUGAGACUAUAAGUCUCCUGAAGGAACGUUGAAGACGACGACGUUGAUAGGCCGGGUGUGUAAGCGCAGCGAUGCGUUGAGCUAACCGGUACUAAUGAACCGUGAGGCUUAACCUUACAACGCCGAAG
RNAcentral lists this ribosomal RNA (368 nucleotides) under Escherichia coli. RNAcentral's name for it is "partial 23S ribosomal RNA". It matches the Rfam family "Bacterial large subunit ribosomal RNA", at positions 2575 to 2925 of the family's 2925-position model. The record is from RNAcentral. Lineage: Bacteria; Pseudomonadati; Pseudomonadota; Gammaproteobacteria; Enterobacterales; Enterobacteriaceae.